CCUACGGGAUGCAGCAGUAGGGAAUCUUUCACAAUGGGCGAAAGCCUGAUGGAGCAACGCCGCGUGCAGGAUGAAGGCCUUCGGGUUGUAAACUGCUUUUAUAAGCGAGAAAUAUGAUGGUAACUUAUGAAUAAGGAUCGGCUAACUACGUGCCAGCAGCCGCGGUCAUACGUAGGAUCCGAGCAUUAUCCGGAGUGACUGGGUGUAAAGAGUUGCGUAGGUGGCAUAAUAAGUAGCUAGUGAAAUCUGGUGGCUCAACCAUUCAGACUAUUAGCUAAACUGUUAAGCUCGAGACCGUUAGGGGUAACUGGAAUUUCUAUUGUAGGAGUGAAAUCCGUAGAUAUUAGAAGGAACACCAAUAGCGUAGGCAGGUUGCUGGGACGGUUCUGACACUAAGGCACGAAAGCGUAGGGAGCAAACGGGAUUAGAUACCCUUGUAGUC
This 442-nucleotide ribosomal RNA is filed under the name uncultured bacterium. RNAcentral's name for it is "partial 16S ribosomal RNA". It matches the Rfam family "Bacterial small subunit ribosomal RNA", at positions 338 to 795 of the family's 1533-position model. The record is from RNAcentral.